UUGGCUCAGAUUGAACGCUGGCGGCAUGCCUUACACAUGCAAGUCGAACGGCAGCACGGGAGCAAUCCUGGUGGCGAGUGGCGAACGGGUGAGUAAUAUAUCGGAACAUACCCUAGAGUGGGGGAUAACGUAGCGAAAGUUACGCUAAUACCGCAUACGAUCUACGGAUGAAAGUGGGGGCUCGCAAGACCUCACGCUCAUGGAGUGGCCGAUAUCUGAUUAGCUAGUUGGCGGGGUAAAAGCCCACCAAGGCGACGAUCAGUAGCUGGUCUGAGAGGACGACCAGCCACACUGGGACUGAGACACGGCCCAGACUCCUACGGGAGGCAGCAGUGGGGAAUUUUGGACAAUGGGCGCAAGCCUGAUCCAGCAAUGCCGCGUGUGUGAAGAAGGCCUUCGGGUUGUAAAGCACUUUUGUCAGGGAAGAAACGGUUCGGGCUAAUACCCUGGACUAAUGACGGUACCUGAAGAAUAAGCACCGGCUAACUACGUG
Molecule: ribosomal RNA, 493 nt
Filed under: uncultured Herminiimonas sp.
Lineage: Bacteria; Pseudomonadati; Pseudomonadota; Betaproteobacteria; Burkholderiales; Oxalobacteraceae
Description: bacterial SSU rRNA
Rfam family: Bacterial small subunit ribosomal RNA
Source: RNAcentral